Molecule: long non-coding RNA, 460 nt
Filed under: Lathyrus oleraceus (garden pea)
Lineage: Eukaryota; Viridiplantae; Streptophyta; Magnoliopsida; Fabales; Fabaceae
Description: Pisum sativum (pea) long non-coding RNA (PSAT_LNC041551)
Source: RNAcentral
CCAGGGCAGCAAAUCCUGAACUGGAGGGUUUGAAAGAUCAACAUUGUUACUCAUCUGGAAGAGUAUUAUUUCUUGUUUUCAGUUUAUAUGCAUGAAAGCCAUACGUGUUGCCCGACACGUAAUGGUUCAUUGUAAGGGCCACCUCAUGUUUAAAUUUGCAUUUCUGCAUCAUUAAUAAAUGGAUGUUUUUCAGUCAAAAAACGGUGUUCCCUGUUUUUCAAUUAUUUUUGCAGUUUAAAAACAAAAUAAAAAUGGCAAUGUUUAUUUUCUGUUUUUUCCUUUUGUUUUGUCUCGUCCCGACUUCAAAAAAAAUUCUUCUCCGGAUCUCAUUGAUAACAAUUUGGUUACCUCUCAUAUGACUUCGACAAACCGAUCUAUCUUGCUGAAGAAGAAGACGAAGAAGAUUGUGAUCUGUUGGGAUUGGCCAGAUUGCUGAAAACAAGAGGAGAAGGUGAUUCAG